Molecule: ribosomal RNA, 253 nt
Filed under: uncultured bacterium
Lineage: Bacteria
Description: partial 16S ribosomal RNA
Rfam family: Bacterial small subunit ribosomal RNA
Source: RNAcentral
UACAGAGGUCUCAAGCGUUGUUCGGAUUCAUUGGGCGUAAAGGGUGCGUAGGCGGCGCGGUAAGUCGGGUGUGAAAUCUCGGGGCUUAACUCCGAAACUGCAUUCGAUACUGCCGUGCUGGAGGCAGGUAGGGGAGAGUGGAAUUCCUGGUGUAGCGGUGAAAUGCGCAGAUAUCAGGAGGAACACCGGUGGCGAAGGCGGCUCUCUGGACCUGUCCUGACGCUCAGGCGCGAAAGCUAGGGGAGCAAACAGG